Molecule: long non-coding RNA, 1442 nt
Organism: Heterocephalus glaber (naked mole-rat)
Lineage: Eukaryota; Metazoa; Chordata; Mammalia; Rodentia; Bathyergidae
Source: Ensembl
CCCAGGCCCGCCCACAUCCGGCUUUUCCUUUGGCCGGGUCAGCCAUCUUUGCUGAGGGCAGCUGUGGUGUGUGUUUGAGACACGACUCAGGUGCUGUGCGGGCCACCGUCCGACUGCUCAUCACGGGGCCAUUGGCUGAGAGGGCAGUCUGGCUCCGGGCCCCACUUCCGGGCGCGGCUUGAGGGUCCCCUAUACCUCUUCUUCGCAGUGAAGUUUCUUCAGCGCCUCAGAGACUGCAUUGCUUCCUCUGCCUCGGCCCCGGCUCCCAUUCGCCUCCUCCCUAUACUGAUGGCCCAUCGGGCGUCGAGGGGCGGUCGCUGCGCUGCAGCAACUCAGUGACACGCCCGUGUCUGGUUGGGUGCGGUACGUUUUGGAAAUGAAAGCACUAGGUCUCUGACUUUCUCAACUUCCUGCCUAAUUUUACCUUUUUCCCCUUAAGUUUCUCCACUUCCCUCCCAAGCAUGGCUGUGCAGCCCCUUCUGGACUACCUUCCAAGGGGCUUCACCCUCGUACUCCUCUUUCUUCGGUCUCUCCUGUUACUUUUUAGCGUCUCCCCUCCGCAGUCCUUAACUAAAUCGUCCCGCACGGCCAAGGGUGAUAAUUGGAAGCAGGUAGGGUAAAAAGGCUAGAAUUCUGGAGUCCGUUUGCAUGACGUUCAGAUUCCAACGCAAUCCUUGAGCUAUUUACUCAACUUUAGUUUUCUUGUCUAUAAAAAGUUAAUUGUAACAUCUACUUCCUUACCCCGACGCCAGGCAGAUUUUACGGUGAAGCAAAUGAGCUUUAAAUUAAACUUGCCCAGAACUCUGAGAUUGUAGUAUUCUAGGUGGGGAGGUUGAAACCAGGAAGAAUUUCUUAUAAGUGAAAAGAUCUCUUAAUUUUGUUAUUUAUCUUUUCAUUUCUUAAUAAAUAUUCAUCAUCGUGCUUCAUUUUGUGUUUAUAAUUUUAUAUUUUUUUCUAAGACGGCCCUUUAAAAGUUUCAGUCCCUACAAAACUUGGAUCCACACCUGUAUACCCCUGGAAUUGUUUUAAUAAUUAGGUAAAAUAAUAACUGGGAAACUGUUAAUACAGGGGAUUGGGCCCAAUAAAUGUUCAAUAAAUGUGAGCUGUAAUUAAAGACCAAUAAAAUAGCCCUCAAGGCAAAAAGAUGAAACCACAAAGAGAUUCUAUAAUACAUUCUAUAGUAGUUAACACCACGGAAAACUGGAAAAUAAAUCGAAAUGGGAGAUUUUUACAUAUCACUUUUAGCCUGUGGAAGAUUCACAAUAAAGUAACAGCAAAAAAUAAAGCAGAUCAAAAUUGAUAAAAUUGACUUCUUUUAUAUUGUGUUCCAAGUCAAAAAUAAAUUUUUGAUUUCCAAAAAAUAGAAUUUGAAAAUACCUAGCUACAGUACGUGAAAUUUGAAAAUAUCAAAAAGUUAAUCACAAACUCUAAUCUCUUGGAAC